This 429-nucleotide ribosomal RNA is filed under the name Babesia venatorum (nom. ined.). RNAcentral describes it as "SSU rRNA". It matches the Rfam family "Eukaryotic small subunit ribosomal RNA", at positions 559 to 1038 of the family's 1831-position model. Lineage: Eukaryota; Apicomplexa; Aconoidasida; Piroplasmida; Babesiidae. The record is from RNAcentral.
GUCUGGUGCCAGCAGCCGCGGUAAUUCCAGCUCCAAUAGCGUAUAUUAAACUUGUUGCAGUUAAAAAGCUCGUAGUUGAAUUUCUGCGUUAUCGAGUUAUUGACUCUUGUCUUUAAUCGAUUUCGCUUUUGGGAUUUAUCCCUUUUUACUUUGAGAAAAUUAGAGUGUUUCAAGCAGACUUUUGUCUUGAAUACUUCAGCAUGGAAUAAUAGAGUAGGACUUUGGUUCUAUUUUGUUGGUUUUUGAACCUUAGUAAUGGUUAAUAGGAACGGUUGGGGGCAUUCGUAUUUAACUGUCAGAGGUGAAAUUCUUAGAUUUGUUAAAGACGAACUACUGCGAAAGCAUUUGCCAAGGACGUUUCCAUUAAUCAAGAACGAAAGUUAGGGGAUCGAAGACGAUCAGAUACCGUCGUAGUCCUAACCAUAAACU